AACGAGCGCUGGCGGCAGGCCUAAAACAUGCAAGUCGAACGAUGUAGCAAUACAUAGUGGCGCACGGGUGCGUAACGCGUGGGAAUAUGCCCUCCACUACGGAACAACGUCGGGAAACUGACGCUAAUACCGUAUAAUGACUCCGGUCCAAAGAUUUAUCGGUGAAGGAUUAGCCCGCGUCUGAUUAGGUAGUUGGUGAGGUAACGGCUCACCAAGCCGACGAUCAGUAGCUGGUCUGAGAGGAUGAUCAGCCACACUGGAACUGAGACACGGUCCAGACUCCUACGGGAGGCAGCAGUUAGGAAUAUUGGACAAUGGGGGAAACCCUGAUCCAGCCAUGCCGCGUGAGUGAAGAAGGCCUUAGGGUUGUAAAGCUCUUUCGUCUGUGAAGAUAAUGACAGUAGCAGAAGAAGAAGCCCCGGCUAAAUUCGUGCCAGCAGCCGCCGUAA
Molecule: ribosomal RNA, 449 nt
Filed under: uncultured bacterium
Lineage: Bacteria
Description: partial 16S ribosomal RNA
Rfam family: Bacterial small subunit ribosomal RNA
Source: RNAcentral